UCAGAGAAUGUUGGUGUUUGAAGGAGAAUGUUGGUGUUUGAAGGAGAAUGUUGGUGUUUGGUAGGGUAUGUUGAUGUUUGAAGGAGAAUGUUGGUGUUUGGUAGGGUAUGUUGAUGUUUGAAGGAGAAUGGUGGUGUUUGGUAGGGUAUGUUGAUGUUUGAAGGAGAGUGAUGGUGUUUGGUAGGGAAUGUUGAUGUUUGAAGGAGAACGUUGGUGUUUGGUAGGGUAUGUUGAUGUUUGAAGGAGAACGUUGGUGUUUGGUAGGGUAUGUUGAUGUUUGAAGGAGAAUGUUGGUGUUUGGUAGGGUAUGUUGAUGUUUGAAGGAGAGUGAUGGUGUUUGGUAGGGUAUGUUGAUGUUUGAAGGAGAAUGUUGGUGUUUGAAGGAGAAUGUUGGUGUUUGGUAGGGUAUGUUGAUGUUUGAAGGAGAAUGUUGGUGUUUGAAGGAGAAUGUUGGUGUUUGAAGGAGAAUGUUGGUGUUUGAAGGAGAAUGUUGGUGUUUGGUAGGGUAUGUUGAUGUUUGAAGGAGAGUGAUGGUGUUUGGUAGGAUAUGUUGAUGUUUGAAGGAGAGUGUUGGUGUUUAGUAGGAUAUGUUGAUGUUUGAAGGAGAGUGAUGGUGUUUAGUAGAGUAUGUUGAUGUUUGAAGAAGAGUGAUGGUGUUUAGUAAGGAACAUGGGUGUUUGAAGGACAAUGUUGGUGUUUGGUAGGGAAUGUUGGUGUUUGAAGGAGAAUGCUGGUGUUUGGCAGGUGCUUGAUGGACAUACUGGUGUUUGAUAGAGAGUGAUGGUGUUUGAAGGAGAAUGCUGGUGUUUGAUGGAGAGUGAUGGUGUUUGUUAGGGUAUGUUGAUGUUUGAAGGAGAGUGAUGGUGUUUGGUAGGGUAUGUUGAGGUCUGAAGGAGAAUGCUGGUGUUUGAAGGAGAAUGCUGGUGUUUGAUGGAGAAUGCUGGUGUUUGUUAGGGUAUGUUGAUGUUUGAAGGAGAGUGAUGGUGUUUGGUAGGGAAUGUUGAUGUCUGAAGGAGAAUGUUGGUGUUUGGUAGGGUAUGUUGAAGUCUGAAGGAGAAUGCUGGUGUUUGAAGGAGAAUGCUGGUGUUUGAUGGAGAGUGAUGGUGUUUGUUAGGGUAUGUUGAAGUCUGAAGUAGAAUGCUGGUGUUUGAAGGAGAAUGUCGGCAUUUGAAGACGAAUGCUGGUGUUUGGCAGGUGCUUGAUGGACACACUGGUGUUUGAUGGAGAGUGAUGGUGUUCGUUAGGGUAUGCUGGUGUUUGAGAAUGUUGGUAUGGCUUAUUGUCGUAGUGAGCGCUCGUGGUGUUGGAUCACAGUGUUUGGAGCACAAUGUCGGUGUAUGUUAAUUCCUGUUUGUGUUAUCGUCUUUGUAAAUAGUUGUGGUGUUUGAUCAUGGUAUUUGUAAAACAAUGGUGGUGUGUGUUAACUGCUGUUUGUGUCAUCGUCUUAGUGAACGCCUGUGGCGUUUCAACACAGUGUUUGCUGGUCAGUGGUGCUAUGUGUAGUUUGUUCUUUGUGUUACUGUGUUAGUGAAUACUUCUGGUGUUUGAUCGUGGUGUUUGGUGGACAGUCGGGGUGUGUGUUAUUUACAGUUUGUGUUAUUGUCUUACUUCAUGGUGCUCAGUGGACAUCUGUAGUGCACGUUAAUUCGUCUGAGUGAGUGCUGGAGUCUGAUGGUGCUCGUUUCACACUUGUGUCAUGCUGAUUACUGCGCCCGCGGUUAUGAGGUUCUUGCGGAAACAAACACACGACGGUCUCCAGGACUUGCUGACCAAAGUGUAGAGCUGCACAGGAAACUAAAACCGCAGAGACCUUUAUAAAGAUCUCAACUCACUCGCGGUGUAAACGAAACUUUCA
Molecule: long non-coding RNA, 1855 nt
Organism: Ictalurus punctatus (channel catfish)
Lineage: Eukaryota; Metazoa; Chordata; Actinopteri; Siluriformes; Ictaluridae
Source: Ensembl